Molecule: ribosomal RNA, 929 nt
Filed under: uncultured bacterium
Lineage: Bacteria
Description: bacterial SSU rRNA
Rfam family: Bacterial small subunit ribosomal RNA
Source: RNAcentral
ACACAUGCAAGUCGAGGGCAGCGGGUUGAAAGCUUGCUUUCAAUGCCGGCGACCGGCGCACGGGUGCAUAACGCGUAUCAAACCUGCCUCAUACUCGGGAAUAGCCUUGCGAAAGUAAGAUUAAUACCCGAUGUUGUUGCUUUCUCGCAUGGGAGAGUAACCAAAGAUUUAUCGGUAUGAGAUGGUGAUGCGUCCGAUUAGGUAGUAGGCGGGGUAACGGCCCACCUAGCCUUCGAUCGGUAGGGGUUCUGAGAGGAAGGUCCCCCACACUGGAACUGAGACACGGUCCAGACUCCUACGGGAGGCAGCAGUGAGGAAUAUUGGUCAAUGGGCGAGAGCCUGAACCAGCCAAGUAGCGUGCAGGAUGACGGCCCUCCGGGUUGUAAACUGCUUUUAGUUGGGAAUAAAAAAAGGGACUUGUCCCUUCUUGUAUGUACCUUCAGAAAAAGGACCGGCUAAUUCCGUGCCAGCAGCCGCGGUAAUACGGAAGGUCCAGGCGUUAUCCGGAUUUAUUGGGUUUAAAGGGAGCGUAGGCGGAUUGUUAAGUCAGCGGUUAAAGGGUGUGGCUCAACCAUACAUUGCCGUUGAAACUGGCGAUCUUGAGUGCAGACAGGGAUGCCGGAAUUCGUGGUGUAGCGGUGAAAUGCUUAGAUAUCACGAAGAACUCCGAUCGCGAAGGCAGGUGUCCGGGCUGCAACUGACGCUGAAGCUCGAAAGUGUGGGUAUCAAACAGGAUUAGAUACCCUGGUAGUCCACACAGUAAACGAUGUAUACUCGCGGUUUGCGAUAGACAGUAAGCCGCCAAGCGAAAGCAUUGAGUAUACCACCUGGGGAGUACGCCGGCAACGGUGAAACUCAAAGGAAUUGACGGGGGCCCGCACAAGCGGAGGAACAUGUGGUUUAAUUCGAUGAUACGCGAGGAACCUUAC